CCUACGGGAGGCAGCAGUGAGGAAUAUUGGUCAAUGGGCGUAAGCCUGAACCAGCCAAGUCGCGUGAGGGAUGAAGGUUCUAUGGAUCGUAAACCUCUUUUAUAAGGGAAUAAAGUGUGGGACGUGUCCUGUUUUGUAUGUACCUUAUGAAUAAGGCUCGGCUAACUCCGUGCCAGCAGCCGCGGUAAUACGGAGGAUCCGAGCGUUAUCCGGAUUUAUUGGGUUUAAAGGGUGCGUCGGCGGCCUUUUAAGUCAGCGGUGAAAGUCUGUGGCUCAACCAUAGAAUUGCCGUUGAAACUGGGAGGCUUGAGUAUGUUUGAGGCAGGCGGAAUGCGUGGUGUAGCGGUGAAAUGCUUAGAUAGCACGCAGAACCCCGAUUGCGAAGGCAGCCUGCCAAGCCAUGACUGACGCUGAUGCACGAAAGCGUGGGGAUCAAACAGGAGUAGAGACCCGUGUAGUC
RNAcentral lists this ribosomal RNA (460 nucleotides) under uncultured bacterium. RNAcentral's name for it is "partial 16S ribosomal RNA". It matches the Rfam family "Bacterial small subunit ribosomal RNA", at positions 338 to 795 of the family's 1533-position model. The record is from RNAcentral.